Non-coding RNA from Pelobates cultripes (western spadefoot toad), 538 nucleotides. The record is from the annotation of a GenBank genome assembly. NCBI's taxonomy places the organism in Eukaryota, Metazoa, Chordata, Amphibia, Anura, Pelobatidae.
GCACCAGGGCCUGGUCUUGGGCUGAAAAUUUUAUCGGGAAAGGCAUGUUUCUUUGGACGGGGAAUGAUAUAAAAUCUAUUUUGUAACCUAGAACCGUGUCUAGUAUCCAAGAGUCGUUUGUAACCUGACUCCAGACAUGGAAAAAAACGAGUGAGUCUGCCCCCUAACCUUACUGGGAAAGAACGGGGAGUUGUCAUACUCACCGGAUGAAGAUCUGAAGCGAGACAUUCCUCGAUGGCCUCUCGAUCUCCAAGGUCUGCCACGUAGUGGAAAGAAAGGAGUUGAUUGUUGGGUGUCAUAUGAGGAUCUGGAGGGUUGAAAAGUGUUCCUUGGAACCUGUCUAUGCUGAAAGGAACGGCUGGAAGAACGGUUCCUUCCUCCUCCAGCCCUUCCGAAAACCUUAGGGUUGAAAGCUUUCUUCAGGGAUAACUGAGCCUUAUUAAGGGAACUAAAUAGAUUGACAUAUUUAUUAAUUUCUUUAAUAAAGGAUUCUCCGAAUAGGAGACCUUCCGCAGCUGGACCAGGUUCGGAAGUAGCU